UCGAGCGAGCGGAACUAAAGAUUUACUUCGGUAAUGACGUUAGGAAAGCGAGCGGCGGAUGGGUGAGUAACACGUGGGGAAUCUGCCCCAUAGUCUGGGAUACCACUUGGAAACAGGUGCUAAUACCGGAUAAGAAAGCAGAUCGCAUGAUCAGCUUUUAAAAGGCGGCGUAAGCUGUCGCUAUGGGAUGGCCCCGCGGUGCAUUAGCUAGUUGGUAAGGUAAAGGCUUACCAAGGCGAUGAUGCAUAGCCGAGUUGAGAGACUGAUCGGCCACAUUGGGACUGAGACACGGCCCAAACUCCUACGGGAGGCAGCAGUAGGGAAUCUUCCACAAUGGACGCAAGUCUGAUGGAGCAACGCCGCGUGAGUGAAGAAGGUUUUCGGAUCGUAAAGCUCUGUUGUUGGUGAAGAAGGAUAGAGGUAGUAACUGGCCUUUAUUUGACGGUAAUCAACCAGAAAGUCACGGCUAACUACGUGCCAGCAGCCGCGGUAAUACGUAGGUGGCAAGCGUUGUCCGGAUUUAUUGGGCGUAAAGCGAGCGCAGGCGGAAGAAUAAGUCUGAUGUGAAAGCCCUCGGCUUAACCGAGGAACUGCAUCGGAAACUGUUUUUCUUGAGUGCAGAAGAGGAGAGUGGAACUCCAUGUGUAGCGGUGGAAUGCGUAGAUAUAUGGAAGAACACCAGUGGCGAAGGCGGCUCUCUGGUCUGCAACUGACGCUGAGGCUCGAAAGCAUGGGUAGCGAACAGGAUUAGAUACCCUGGUAGUCCAUGCCGUAAACGAUGAGUGCUAAGUGUUGGGAGGUUUCCGCCUCUCAGUGCUGCAGCUAACG
This 828-nucleotide ribosomal RNA is filed under the name uncultured bacterium. Its description in RNAcentral is "bacterial SSU rRNA". It matches the Rfam family "Bacterial small subunit ribosomal RNA", at positions 62 to 857 of the family's 1533-position model. The record is from RNAcentral.